This 578-nucleotide ribosomal RNA is filed under the name Aspergillus conicus. RNAcentral's name for it is "eukaryotic LSU rRNA". It matches the Rfam family "Eukaryotic large subunit ribosomal RNA", at positions 58 to 648 of the family's 3401-position model. The record is from RNAcentral. Lineage: Eukaryota; Fungi; Ascomycota; Eurotiomycetes; Eurotiales; Aspergillaceae.
AAAGAAACCAACCGGGAUUGCCUCAGUAACGGCGAGUGAAGCGGCAAGAGCUCAAAUUUGAAAUCUGGCCCCUCCGGGGUCCGAGUUGUAAUUUGUAGAGGAUGCUUCGGGUGCGGCCCCUGUCUAAGUGCCCUGGAAUGGGCCAUCGGAGAGGGUGAGAAUCCCGUCUGGGAUGGGGUGUUCCGUGCCCGUGUGAAGCUCCUUCGACGAGUCGAGUUGUUUGGGAAUGCAGCUCUAAAUGGGUGGUAAAUUUCAUCUAAAGCUAAAUACUGGCCGGAGACCGAUAGCGCACAAGUAGAGUGAUCGAAAGAUGAAAAGCACUUUGAAAAGAGAGUUAAACAGCACGUGAAAUUGUUGAAAGGGAAGCGCUUGCGACCAGACUCGCCCACGGGGUUCAGCCGGCUUUCGGGCCGGUGUACUUCCCCGGGGGCGGGCCAGCGUCGGUUUGGGCGGCCGGUCAAAGGCCCCCGGAAUGUAACGCCCUCUCGGGGGCGUCUUAUAGCCGGGGGUGUCAUGCGGCCAGCCUGGACCGAGGAACGCGCUUCGGCACGGACGCUGGCAUAAUGGUCGCAAACGAC